RNAcentral lists this long non-coding RNA (222 nucleotides) under Gossypium barbadense (sea-island cotton). Its description in RNAcentral is "long non-coding RNA (GBAR_LNC012679)". The record is from RNAcentral. Lineage: Eukaryota; Viridiplantae; Streptophyta; Magnoliopsida; Malvales; Malvaceae.
AACAAGACAUCUGUAACACCCCCUAACCCUUAUCCGUCGCCAGAAUAGGGUUACAGAGCAUUAUCAUACAUUACAGAUCAUAUACUAAUAAUUCAUAAUUAUUUACACAUAAACAUCAUAAUUCAAUUAUAUAGUCCCUUUAUGAACCUUCAAGGCCCAAAACACAUAUUAGAAACGAAUCGGGACUUAAUCAGAAACUCAGAGAAUUUUUCACGAAAUUUU